UACAGAGGGUGCGAGCGUUAAUCGGAGUGACUGGGCGUAAAGGGCAUGUAGGUGGUUUAUUUAGUCUGAUGUGAAAGGCGCGGGCUUAACCUGUGUAAUGCAUUGGAAACGGAUAAGCUAGAGUCUUGGAGAGGGAAGUGGAAUUUCCGGUGUAGCGGUGAAAUGCGUAGAGAUCGGAAAGAACACUCGUGGCGAAGGCGACUUUCUGGCCAAAGACUGACACUGAGGUGCGAAGGCGUGGGUAGCAAACAGG
RNAcentral lists this ribosomal RNA (253 nucleotides) under uncultured bacterium. RNAcentral's name for it is "partial 16S ribosomal RNA". It matches the Rfam family "Bacterial small subunit ribosomal RNA", at positions 524 to 776 of the family's 1533-position model. The record is from RNAcentral.